This 680-nucleotide ribosomal RNA is filed under the name uncultured bacterium. RNAcentral's name for it is "bacterial SSU rRNA". It matches the Rfam family "Bacterial small subunit ribosomal RNA", at positions 825 to 1501 of the family's 1533-position model. The record is from RNAcentral.
UGUGGCCCUUGAGCCGUGGCUUUCGGAGCUAACGCGUUAAGUAGACCGCCUGGGGAGUACGGUCGCAAGAUUAAAACUCAAAUGAAUUGACGGGGGCCCGCACAAGCGGUGGAGCAUGUGGUUUAAUUCGAUGCGACGCGAAGAACCUUACCUACUCUUGACAUCCGGAGAAGCCAGCGGAGACGCAGGUGUGCCUUCGGGAGCUCUGAGACAGGUGCUGCAUGGCUGUCGUCAGCUCGUGUUGUGAAAUGUUGGGUUAAGUCCCGCAACGAGCGCAACCCUUAUCCUUGUUUGCCAGCGAGUCAUGUCGGGAACUCCAGGGAGACUGCCGGUGAUAAACCGGAGGAAGGUGGGGACGACGUCAAGUCAUCAUGGCCCUUACGAGUAGGGCUACACACGUGCUACAAUGGCGCAUACAGAGGGCAGCAAGCUAGCGAUAGUGAGCGAAUCCCAAAAAGUGCGUCGUAGUCCGGAUUGGAGUCUGCAACUCGACUCCAUGAAGUCGGAAUCGCUAGUAAUCGUGAAUCAGAAUGUCACGGUGAAUACGUUCCCGGGCCUUGUACACACCGCCCGUCACACCAUGGGAGUGGGCUGCAAAAGAAGUGGGUAGUUUAACCUUUCGGGGAGGACGCUCACCACUUUGUGGUUCAUGACUGGGGUGAAGUCGUAACAAGGUAACC